UACAGGGGGAGCAAGCGUUGUUCGGAUUUACUGGGCGUAAAGGGCGCGUAGGCGGUCGUGACAAGUCACUUGUGAAAUCUCCGGGCUUAACUCGGAACGGUCAAGUGAUACUGUCGGACUAGAGUACAGAAGGGGCAACUGGAAUUCUCGGUGUAGCGGUGAAAUGCGUAGAUAUCGAGAGGAACACCUGGCGGCGAAGGCGGGUUGCUGGGCUGAUACUGACGCUGAGGCGCGGAAAGCCCAGGGGAGCGAACGGG
Molecule: ribosomal RNA, 257 nt
Filed under: uncultured bacterium
Lineage: Bacteria
Description: partial 16S ribosomal RNA
Rfam family: Bacterial small subunit ribosomal RNA
Source: RNAcentral